Choloepus didactylus (southern two-toed sloth) is the source of this 465-nucleotide non-coding RNA. The record is from the annotation of a RefSeq genome assembly. Lineage: Eukaryota; Metazoa; Chordata; Mammalia; Pilosa; Megalonychidae.
AUGAAAUCCUUGUGGUUCUUCCUCUUUCUGGUGGCAGCUCCCAGAUGUGUCCUGUCACAAGUGCAGUUGAAGGAGUCAGGACCUGGCCUGGUGAAGCCCUCACAGACCCUGUCCCUCACCUGCUCUGUCUCUGGAUUCUCUUUAAACAAUCAUGCUGUGCGCUGGAUCCACCAGCCCCCAGGAAAGGGGCUGGAGUGGGUCUUGAUUAUAGGUUAUGCUGGAGGCACAUACUACAACCCAAGCCUUCUGUCCCAACUCAGCAUCACCAGGGACACCUCCAAGAAUGAAGUUUAUUUAAAACUGAGGAGCCCGAGACCAGAGAACACAGCCACGUAUUACUGUGUGAGAGACACAGUGAGGGGAAGACAGGAAUGUCCAGGAAAAAAUAGCCCUCCUGUACCAUCAGGUAGUGCUUGUGUCUUCGGGUGGAAGGAGGAGAAAGACAGAAACCCUGGGAUGGCCUAA